UACGAAGGGUGCAAGCGUUACUCGGAAUUACUGGGCGUAAAGCGUGCGUAGGUGGUUCGUUAAGUCUGAUGUGAAAGCCCUGGGCUCAACCUGGGAAUGGCAUUGGAUACUGGCGACCUAGAGUGCGGUAGAGGGGUGUGGAAUUCCCGGUGUAGCAGUGAAAUGCGUAGAUAUCUGGAGGAACACCGGUGGCGAAGGCGGCGUUCUGGACUGCAACUGACACUGAGGAACGAAAGCCAGGGGAGCAAACGGG
RNAcentral lists this ribosomal RNA (253 nucleotides) under uncultured bacterium. RNAcentral describes it as "partial 16S ribosomal RNA". It matches the Rfam family "Bacterial small subunit ribosomal RNA", at positions 524 to 776 of the family's 1533-position model. The record is from RNAcentral.